This 432-nucleotide ribosomal RNA is filed under the name uncultured bacterium. RNAcentral's name for it is "partial 16S ribosomal RNA". It matches the Rfam family "Bacterial small subunit ribosomal RNA", at positions 29 to 506 of the family's 1533-position model. The record is from RNAcentral.
AACGAACGCUGGCGGCAUGCCUAACACAUGCAAGUCGAACGAGACCUUCGGGUCUAGUGGCGCACGGGUGCGUAACGCGUGGGAACCUGCCCUUAGGUUCGGAAUAACUCCCCGAAAGGGGUGCUAAUACCGGAUAAUGUCUUCGGACCAAAGAUUUAUCGCCUUUGGAUGGGCCCGCGUUGGAUUAGCUAGUUGGUAGGGUAGAAGCCUACCAAGGCGACGAUCCAUAGCUGGUCUGAGAGGAUGAUCAGCCACACUGGGACUGAGACACGGCCCAGACUCCUACGGGAGGCAGCAGUGGGGAAUAUUGGACAAUGGGCGAAAGCCUGAUCCAGCAAUGCCGCGUGAGUGAUGAAGGCCUUAGGGUUGUAAAGCUCUUUUACCCGGGAUGAUAAUGACAGUACCGGGAGAAUAAGCUCCGGCUAACUCCGU